This 253-nucleotide ribosomal RNA is filed under the name uncultured bacterium. RNAcentral describes it as "partial 16S ribosomal RNA". It matches the Rfam family "Bacterial small subunit ribosomal RNA", at positions 524 to 776 of the family's 1533-position model. The record is from RNAcentral.
UACGAGGGGAGCAAGCGUUGUUCGGAUUUACUGGGCGUAAAGGGCGCGUAGGCGGCGUGACAAGUCACUUGUGAAAUCUCCGGGCUUAACUCGGAACGGUCAAGUGAAACUGUCGUGCUAGAGUACAGAAGGGGCAACUGGAAUUCUCGGUGUAGCGGUGGAAUGCGCAGAUAUCAGGAGGAACACCGGUGGCGAAGGCGGUUCUCUGGGCAUUUCCUGACGCUGAGAAGCGAAAGCGUGGGGAGCAAACAGG